RNAcentral lists this ribosomal RNA (393 nucleotides) under uncultured bacterium. RNAcentral describes it as "partial 16S ribosomal RNA". It matches the Rfam family "Bacterial small subunit ribosomal RNA", at positions 523 to 918 of the family's 1533-position model. The record is from RNAcentral.
AUACGGAGGAUGCGAGCGUUAUCCGGAUUUAUUGGGUUUAAAGGGAGCGUAGGUGGGAUAUUAAGUCAGCUGUGAAAGUUUGGGGCUCAACCUUAAAAUUGCAGUUGAUACUGGUUUCCUUGAGUACGGUAUAGGUGGGCGGAAUUCGUGGUGUAGCGGUGAAAUGCUUAGAUAUCACGAAGAACUCCGAUCGCGAAGGCAGCUCACUGGGCCGGAACUGACACUGAUGCUCGAAAGUGCGGGUAUCAAACAGGAUUAGAUACCCUGGUAGUCCGCACAGUAAACGAUGAAUACUCGCUGUUUGCGAUACACUGUAAGCGGCCAAGCGAAAGCGUUAAGUAUUCCACCUGGGGAGUACGCCGGCAACGGUGAAACUCAAAGGAAUUGACGGGG